RNAcentral lists this ribosomal RNA (591 nucleotides) under Rossellomorea marisflavi. Its description in RNAcentral is "bacterial SSU rRNA". It matches the Rfam family "Bacterial small subunit ribosomal RNA", at positions 68 to 650 of the family's 1533-position model. The record is from RNAcentral. Lineage: Bacteria; Bacillati; Bacillota; Bacilli; Caryophanales; Bacillaceae.
GAUCGAUGAGGAGCUUGCUCCCUGAGAUCAGCGGCGGACGGGUGAGUAACACGUGGGUAACCUGCCUGUAAGACUGGGAUAACUCCGGGAAACCGGGGCUAAUACCGGAUAACACCUACCCCCGCAUGGGGGAAGGUUGAAAGGUGGCUUCGGCUAUCACUUACAGAUGGACCCGCGGCGCAUUAGCUAGUUGGUGAGGUAACGGCUCACCAAGGCGACGAUGCGUAGCCGACCUGAAAGGGUGAUCGGCCACACUGGGACUGAAACACGGCCCAGACUCCUACGGGAGGCAGCAGUAGGGAAUCUUCCGCAAUGGACGAAAGUCUGACGGAACAACCCCGCGUGAGUUGAGAAGGUUUUCGGAUCGUAAAACUCUGUUGUUAGGGAAGAACAAGUGCCGUUCGAAUAGGGCGGCACCUUGACGGUACCUAACCAAAAAGCCACGGCUAACUACGUGCCAGCAGCCGCGGUAAAACGUAGGUGGCAAGCGUUGUCCGGAAUUAUUGGGCGUAAAGCGCGGGAGUGGUUUCUUAGUCUGAUGUGAAACCCCCGGUCAACCGUGGAGGUCAUUGAAAUGGGAACUUGGUGGCA